GUCAAGACCGAAGCUCCGUAUCUUCCGAAAUCUGCAAUCUUUUGAUCGUUCUUCGUGGUAAGGAUGUCUGAUUUCUCCACCAAGCUCGAAGAAAUCACCCAAAUCCUCGUAUCUCUGGACGUCGGAGCCAGCAAGUCACUCACCUACUCCACUCUUUUACGUCUCCAAGAACAGUCAGUUUCCGACCACGAUGCAAUGUAAGCCCUCGCCGAUCGUUCUCGCAGGCUAAUCUCGCUUCUUGUCGGUGAUGUACGUGAAGAAGAUGAAGAAAUUGCUGUCCAGGCCAUGAAGUGCUUGGGUUUCAUGAUACAUCACCCAACAAUUCUUGCUUCCGUCCCCGGUGACUCUUCUUCAAUCUCCUUCUUUUUCCUUGAUGCUAUCUGGGACGAAACUAGAGUUUAUGUCUUGGAAUGGAAAAAAAUGGCGUUUCUUGGCGCUGCAGUGGGUGUUGCAGGUGGAGCCUCGGAGUCACUGGCCAUUGUCAUCAUCAUUGCUAAAAAGUGAAGGGAGGCUGUGCUGCAACCCACAUAUCUAUGAUCAAAUUCUUACCCCUCAAAGUUUUAAGAGUAAUCUCUGUUUCGUCGUAGCAGUCAGUCUGGAAUCCCGUUAUGUGGUGUAUAGACAUCUAUGCAGCAGUUCGAUGGGUCUCGGCUGAAUG
Molecule: RNA transcript, 658 nt
Organism: Syzygium oleosum
Lineage: Eukaryota; Viridiplantae; Streptophyta; Magnoliopsida; Myrtales; Myrtaceae
Exons: 2
Source: RefSeq, a predicted model, not a curated record